RNAcentral lists this long non-coding RNA (226 nucleotides) under Salvia miltiorrhiza (redroot sage). Its description in RNAcentral is "long non-coding RNA (SMIL_LNC001835)". The record is from RNAcentral. Lineage: Eukaryota; Viridiplantae; Streptophyta; Magnoliopsida; Lamiales; Lamiaceae.
CCUUGGCGCACUCCUCAUAUGCCUCUUUGGUCGAAAAAAUUCCUUCCGCUGCACUCUUCCAUUUCCACCAUCCUGUUUGCCAAGACAAGGAGAAAAAGCAUAAUCAAACUCAUCAAAUUAUCCUCCAUCUCCUUUUCCCUCCCCCUCAGUUCCCUUCUCCACUUAAUAUCCCACUCCCACCCUUCCUCCGACCAUUUCCCAGACCCCUCCACACUGAUACUUCUCA